Molecule: transfer RNA, 74 nt
Filed under: Lutibacter sp. Hel_I_33_5
Lineage: Bacteria; Pseudomonadati; Bacteroidota; Flavobacteriia; Flavobacteriales; Flavobacteriaceae
Also listed under: 1 other name
Rfam family: tRNA
About the family: Transfer RNA (tRNA) molecules are approximately 80 nucleotides in length. Their secondary structure includes four short double-helical elements and three loops (D, anti-codon, and T loops).
Source: Rfam by way of RNAcentral
GGCUCUAUAGUUCAACUGGAUAGAAUAUCAGAUUUCGGCUCUGACGGUUGCAGGUUCGAAUCCUGCUAGAGUCA